This 328-nucleotide long non-coding RNA is filed under the name Salvia miltiorrhiza (redroot sage). Its description in RNAcentral is "long non-coding RNA (SMIL_LNC003500)". Lineage: Eukaryota; Viridiplantae; Streptophyta; Magnoliopsida; Lamiales; Lamiaceae. The record is from RNAcentral.
AUAAUAAGAGUCAAGAUAGAUUUUAUGACUCAAUAGAUAAUACAUUUGUCUAUGAACCCAGAGACUUCAGGUUUUAUCUAUCUAUCAUUUUUUGUUGUUUUUUUUUUUUUCAUGUUAUAAGGGGUUAGACAGACCCCCAACCUAUAGAUAAAUCAUCAACCAGUGUUUGAUACAAGACGCUGCCCAAAAGUAACAAUGCCCAACGGAAGCAACAAGGGGACGCAGAAUUCAGGUUUUAGACCCGAUCCGACCCAACGACCUCGACCCAGCCCGGCUCUGCGCAUGUAAGUCCGCCGCAUUGCAUAUUGAUUUUCCUUUCAUUGUAGUC